UCUGUUUGCUUUAUUGCGAGUGGAUUGAUGGGAACUUUUUUAAACCUCGCCAUUUAGAGGAAGGUGAAGUCGUAACAAGGUUUCCGUAGGUGAACCUGCGGAAGGAUCAUUA
Ribosomal RNA from Phytophthora infestans T30-4, 112 nucleotides. NCBI's taxonomy places the organism in Eukaryota, Oomycota, Peronosporomycetes, Peronosporales, Peronosporaceae. The record is from RefSeq and is a predicted model, not a curated record.